Molecule: ribosomal RNA, 498 nt
Filed under: uncultured bacterium
Lineage: Bacteria
Description: partial 16S ribosomal RNA
Rfam family: Bacterial small subunit ribosomal RNA
Source: RNAcentral
AUUGAACGCUGGCGGCAUGCCUUACACAUGCAAGUCGAACGGUAACAGGUCUUCGGAUGCUGACGAGUGGCGAACGGGUGAGUAAUACAUCGGAACGUGCCUAGUAGUGGGGGAUAACUACUCGAAAGAGUGGCUAAUACCGCAUGAGAUCUACGGAUGAAAGCAGGGGAUCGCAAGACCUUGUGCUACUAGAGCGGCCGAUGGCAGAUUAGGUAGUUGGUGGGAGAAAAGCUUACCAAGCCGACGAUCUGUAGCUGGUCUGAAAGGACGAUCAGCCACACUGGGACUGAGAAACGGCCCAGACUCCUACGGGAGGCAGCAGUGGGGAAUUUUGGACAAUGGGCGCAAGCCUGAUUCAGCAAUGCCGCGUGCAGGAUGAAGGCCUUCGGGUUGUAAACUGCUUUUGUACGGAACGAAAAGCCCCGGGUUAAUACCCUGGGGUCAUGACGGUACCGUAAGAAUAAGCACCGGCUAACUACGUGCCAGCCGCCGCGGUAA